This 406-nucleotide ribosomal RNA is filed under the name uncultured bacterium. RNAcentral describes it as "partial 16S ribosomal RNA". It matches the Rfam family "Bacterial small subunit ribosomal RNA", at positions 29 to 526 of the family's 1533-position model. The record is from RNAcentral.
AUUGAACGCUGGCGGCAGGCCUAACACAUGCAAGUCGAGCGAGCGGCGGACGGGUGAGUAAUGGCUGGGAAACUGCCUGAUGGAGGGGGAUAACUACUGGAAACGGUAGCUAAUACAGCAUACCAUCAGAUGUGCCCAGAUGGGAUUAGCUAGUGGGGGGGGAAACGGCUCACCUAGGCUACGAUCCCUAGCUGGUCUGAGAGGAUGACCCGCAACACGGGAAAUGAGACACGGUCCAGACUCCGCCGGGAGGCAGCAGUGGGGAUGAUUGCACAAUGGGCGCAAUCCUGAUGCAGCCAUGCCGCGUGUGUGAAGAAGGCCUUCGGGUUGUAAAGCACUUUCAGCGGGGAGGCGUUACCCGCAGAAGAAGCACCGGCUAACUCCGUGCCAGCAGCCGCGGUAAUUC